AAUUCUUAGGUUUCACUAACAAAGAUGCUGAAAGAGUGGGUUGUGGUGCUGCCUCUGUAAUAUUAUAUUUUUUAAAGGUUUUUCUUUUAAUGGGGACCUUUUAAAAAAUCUUUUUUGAAUUUGUUCCAAUACUGAUUCCAUUUUAUGUAUUGGUUUUUUUUUUGGCCUCAAGGCUUGUUGGAUCUGAGCUCCCCUCCUAGAAACUGACCCUACAACCUCUGUACUUGGAAAUGAAGUCUUAAACACUGGACUACUGGAGAAGUCCCUAUAAUAUCUCUUUUAAAAAAGCACAAGAAUCAUUCAAUUGGCCUAUUAUUCUGAAUUGUUUCCAUCAUUGUUAGUCCAACCUUCCACAAUUCCAAUAUCCCAAGGAGUUCAAGAUGCUCUCAACUUAAGAAAUAAGCCAAGAACAGCUGAAGUUCAGACUUAUGUGACCUUGAACCUGGAUAGAGGUUGAGUAAAUC
RNAcentral lists this long non-coding RNA (464 nucleotides) under Bos indicus x Bos taurus (hybrid cattle). RNAcentral describes it as "lncRNA (ENSBIXG00005006686.1)". Lineage: Eukaryota; Metazoa; Chordata; Mammalia; Artiodactyla; Bovidae. The record is from RNAcentral.